RNAcentral lists this ribosomal RNA (329 nucleotides) under uncultured eukaryote. Its description in RNAcentral is "partial 18S ribosomal RNA". It matches the Rfam family "Eukaryotic small subunit ribosomal RNA", at positions 1470 to 1796 of the family's 1831-position model. The record is from RNAcentral.
CCCUUAGAUGUUCUGGGCCGCACGCGCGCUACACUGAUGCAUUCAACGAGUCUAAAACCUGGUCUGAGAGGGCUGGGUAAUCUUUUGAAAGUGCAUCGUGAUUGGGAUAGAUGAUAGCAAUUCUUCAUCUUCAACGAGGAAUGCCUAGUAAACGCAAGUCAACAGCUUGCAUUGAUUACGUCCCUGCCCUUUGUACACACCGCCCGUCGCUCCUACCGAUUGAACGAUCCGAUGAAAACUGUGGAUUGAGAGUCUGAGUGGGUUCGCCUACCUCAACUUUCGAGAAGCGGUUUAAAUCUUAUCGUUUAGAGGAAGGAGAAGUCGUAACA